CACGUAGGGGGCAAGCGUUGUCCGGAUUUAUUGGGCGUAAAGAGCGUGUAGGCGGCCAGAUAGGUCUGCUGUGAAAACUCGAGGCUCAACCUUGAGCUGUCGGCGGAAACCAUUUGGCUAGAGUCCGGAAGAGGAGAGUGGAAUUCCUGGUGUAGCGGUGAAAUGCGCAGAUAUCAGGAAGAACACCUAUGGCGAAGGCAGCUCUCUGGGACGGUACUGACGCUGAGACGCGAAAGCGUGGGGAGCGAACAGG
Molecule: ribosomal RNA, 253 nt
Filed under: uncultured bacterium
Lineage: Bacteria
Description: partial 16S ribosomal RNA
Rfam family: Bacterial small subunit ribosomal RNA
Source: RNAcentral